RNAcentral lists this ribosomal RNA (443 nucleotides) under uncultured bacterium. RNAcentral's name for it is "partial 16S ribosomal RNA". It matches the Rfam family "Bacterial small subunit ribosomal RNA", at positions 338 to 795 of the family's 1533-position model. The record is from RNAcentral.
CCUACGGGUGGCUGCAGUGGGGAAUAUUGGGCAAUGGGCGCAAGCCUGACCCAGCAACGCCGCGUGAAGGAAGAAGGCUUUCGGGUUGUAAACUUCUUUUGUCAGGGACGAAGCAAGUGACGGUACCUGACGAAUAAGCCACGGCUAACUACGUGCCAGCAGCCGCGGUAAUACGUAGGUGGCAAGCGUUAUCCGGAUUUACUGGGUGUAAAGGGCGUGUAGGCGGGACUGCAAGUCAGAUGUGAAAACCACGGGCUCAACCUGUGGCCUGCAUUUGAAACUGUAGUUCUUGAGUACUGGAGAGGCAGACGGAAUUCCUAGUGUAGCGGUGAAAUGCGUAGAUAUCAGGAGGAAUACCGUUAGCGAAGGCGGCAAUCUGGCUGGAAACUGACGCUGAGGUGCGAAAGCGUGGGUAGCAAACAGGAUUAGAUACCCUUGUAGUC